CCCGCCACUAUACCAGCCUGCCUGUGGCUCGGUGUAUUCCAGUGGUGAGCUGAGAGUGACCCCUUCUUAGGAAACAGGGUCCUUCUGUGUGUGAGAGCCUCUGUGCCGAAAGAUUGGGAACACAA
Non-coding RNA from Xenopus laevis (African clawed frog), 125 nucleotides. The record is from Rfam. NCBI's taxonomy places the organism in Eukaryota, Metazoa, Chordata, Amphibia, Anura, Pipidae.